This 1523-nucleotide ribosomal RNA is filed under the name uncultured organism. RNAcentral's name for it is "bacterial SSU rRNA". It matches the Rfam family "Bacterial small subunit ribosomal RNA". The record is from RNAcentral.
UUGAUCCUGGCUCAGAACGAACGCGGGCGGCGUGGAUUAGGCAUGCAAGUCGAGCGGGAUCCUUGAGGUUCAAUUCUUCGGAAAAGAACCUCUUGGUGAGAGCGGCGAACGGGUGAGUAACGCGUGGGCAAUCUACCCUUAAGUCGGGGAUAGCCCGCCGAAAGGCGGGGUAAUACCGGAUGUGGUCUCCUGUCGCAUGGCAGGAUAUCUAAAGGCGCCUCCGGGUGCCGCUUUUGGAUGAGCCCGCGUCCCAUCAGCUUGUUGGUAGGGUAAUGGCUUACCAAGGCUAAGACGGGUAGCUGGUCUGAGAGGAUGGUCAGCCACACUGGGACUGAGACACUGCCCAGACUCCUACGGGAGGCUGCAGUCGAGAAUCAUUCGCAAUGCGCGAAAGCGUGACGAUGCGACGCCGCGUGCAGGAUGAAGGCUUUCGGGUCGUAAACUGCUGUCAUGGGGGAACAAUGAGCCCGUCGUAAAUAGCGACGGGCAGUGAUGGUACCCCAAGAGGAAGCCACGGCUAACUCUGUGCCAGCAGCCGCGGUAAUACAGAGGUGGCAAGCGUUGUUCGGAUUUACUGGGCGUAAAGGGUGCGUAGGCGGUUUCGUAUGUCGGAUGUGAAAUCUCACCGUUCGACGGUGAAACUGCAUUCGAAACUGCGGAACUAGAGUACGGUAGAGGAGAGCGGAAUUCUCGGUGUAGCGGUGAAAUGCGUAGAUAUCGAGAGGAACGCCGGCGGCGAAGGCGGCUCUCUGGAACGAUACUGACGCUGAGGCACGAAAGCUGGGGGAGCGAACAGGAUUAGAUACCCUGGUAGUCCCAGCCGUAAACGUUGUGCACUUGGUGUGGGAGGAUUGUCCCCUUCCGUGCCGGAGUUAACGCGUUAAGUGCACCGCCUGGGGAGUACGGCCGCAAGGCUAAAACUCAAAGGAAUUGACGGGGGCCCGCACAAGCGGUGGAGCAUGUGGCUUAAUUCGAUGCAACGCGAAGAACCUUACCAGGGCUUGACAUGCAAGUAGUACGAACCUGAAAGGGGGAGGAUCCCGUUCGCGGGAAGCUUGCGCAGGUGCUGCAUGGCUGUCGUCAGCUCGUGCCGUGAGGUGUUGGGUUAAGUCCCGCAACGAGCGCAACCCUUAUGGCUAGUUGCCCCUUCCGUCGAAAGGCGGGAAGCACUCUAGCCAGACUGCCCGUGACAAGCGGGAGGAAGGUGGGGAUGACGUCAAGUCAGUAUGGUCCUUAUGCCCUGGGCUGCACACGUGCUACAAUGGCCGGUAUAAUGGGAAGCAAGACCGCGAGGUGGCGCAAAUCCUCAAAACCGGCCUCAGUUCGGAUCGGAGUCUGCAACCCGACUCCGUGAAGUUGGAAUCGCUAGUAAAGGCGUAUCAGCUACGACGCCUUGAUACGUUCCCGGGCCUUGUACACACCGCCCGUCACAUCAUGGAAGUCGACUGCACCCGAAGUCGCUGAGCCAACCCCUUCCNGGGGAGGCAGGCGCCGAAGGUGUGGUUGAUGACUGGGAUGAAGUC